RNAcentral lists this ribosomal RNA (255 nucleotides) under uncultured bacterium. RNAcentral's name for it is "partial 16S ribosomal RNA". It matches the Rfam family "Bacterial small subunit ribosomal RNA", at positions 99 to 354 of the family's 1533-position model. The record is from RNAcentral.
CGGACGGGUGAGUAACGCGUGGGGAACCUGCCUUGCACCGGGGGAUAACACUUAGAAAUAGGUGCUAAUACCGCAUAAGCGCACAGAGCCGCAUGGCUCAGUGUGAAAAACUCCGGUGGUGCAAGAUGGACCCGCGUCUGAUCAGCUGGUUGGCGGGGUAACGGCCCACCAAGGCGACGAUCAGUAGCCGGCCUGAGAGGGUGAACGGCCACAUUGGGACUGAGACACGGCCCAAACUCCUACGGAAGGCAGCAG